Molecule: long non-coding RNA, 1143 nt
Filed under: Canis lupus dingo (dingo)
Lineage: Eukaryota; Metazoa; Chordata; Mammalia; Carnivora; Canidae
Description: lncRNA (ENSCAFG00020009701.1)
Source: RNAcentral
GCCUCAGUAGGCGCUGGGAAGAACGCGGGAAGGGGCCGCGCGGGUGGCCGCGUUGUGCGGCGGCUGCGGCGUCGGGCCCCGGCGCGCGAAGGGGAAGGCAGAGCCGGGGUCGAAGCGAGGUCCCCGCGAGACGUCCUCCGGGGCCUCGGCGCUGGCCAGGGGACCGCUUGGCGCUGCCGGGCCUCCGCCACCCGAGCCGCGAGGCCCUCGGACCUAACCGGAGCCUGCCCAGAGCCCGAGCGCCGGCCGCCCCGCCGCGGAUGCAGCCCCGUGAGGAUGCUGGGACGUGGCUCCGAGCUUGGUGUUGGCCUGCCCGAGUGGUCCGCACUGGGAAAACAACACCAGGUGGCCCCACUCCGACCCGCCGGCUUGGUGAUUCUUUGAGGAAAUCCAUCCCCCAGCCAUCCACCAGCCGCUUUCUUGGAUUUGGCCCAGGGACUUCGACCUGUCUGGCAACUGAACAUGGCAACUUCUACUCCAACGGGCCUGGCCCGAAUUGCCUUAUGAGUGAAGCCGAAGUCAUCCUUGACCCUGCUCUUUCAUCGUCUCCCAUCUUGGUUCUAAGUCACCUGCCAGCUGGUCAGCUGUCUUAAGAUUACUUCCUCCAGAUCACUUCUUCCUUUUCAUUCCACGGCAAGCACCAUCUGGGGUUAAUGGAGACAUCUCCCUAACUGGCCUUACUGCCCACUGGUCUGCUCCCACUCUUGUCCUCCUUGAAAAUAGACUAAGUGAAUUUUCCUAAUGUGUUUCUUUGUUGAUUAGUCUUUAACAGCUCUCCUCCUGACCAAAGUUUUAAGUUCAGGCUUUCUUCAGUAUGGACCCAGCUUACCUACUUCUUUCCUUUAUAUAUGCAGGCAGGCCUUGUGCUUUCCUGACUCAACAGGGACCAUUUUCCCUGCUCCUGUCUCAUCCUAGUAAAAUCCUAGUUAUUCUUCACAGCCUGGCUCAGGCAUGACUGGGUCUAACAAAGGAUAGGGGCUUUUGAAUUACUGAGGCAAAGUGCUCUCCUGAAUGUAGAGAUCAUAAUCCCCAUAUGAAGUCAUUGUAUAAAGCAAGGAACGUUUGUUAAUAAUCUUGGCACAGUUAUCUUUCCCUCCCAUCCCAUUAACACUCAUUGAACCAGAGUACCUUCCACGUCACCCC